AUAAGCUUGACCUCCCCAACAUGGCCGCCACAUAGGCACAUCGGUUAGCUGGGCUGGUACAGUGCACUGGUGUAUCUAGGGUGGGUUCGGAAAGUCAGUCUGACGCUCUAACGCUACUCUGAGUGAACGUGCCCCGGACAUUCCAACAACAUUUUUCCGAACGGUCCCAGGUGUAGAAGAGCAGAAGGUUUGAGAACACUUUAGACUAAAAAGGGACGAAAAUAAAGUGAUAUAGAAUUAUUGCAAAGUAGAGCUGGCAUACCACAGCAGGUUGGGAGAGAAAACAUCCACACGUGAGCUGGAUGAGAGGCUUUGUGGCAUACGUAAGGAGUUUUCUGGAUGGGCGAGCGAGUGUGCUGCUUACUGUGAGAGGCGUACCAGCAGAGAGUGAAAGAAGAAAACUUUACACCGCUGUGCAUGCCAUAGGGUCACUUGCAUGUACUUGAACCCCUAUCCUU
This is a long non-coding RNA of Phyllopteryx taeniolatus (common seadragon), 458 nucleotides long. RefSeq lists it as uncharacterized. The record is from RefSeq and is a predicted model, not a curated record. NCBI's taxonomy places the organism in Eukaryota, Metazoa, Chordata, Actinopteri, Syngnathiformes, Syngnathidae. The transcript is spliced from 3 exons.